GAUGAACGCUGGCGGCGUGCCUAAUACAUGCAAGUCGAGCGAACAGACGAGAGUGCUUGCACUCUCUGACGUUAGCGGCGGACGGGUGAGUAACACGUGGGUAACCUACCUAUAAGACUGGGAUAACUUCGGGAAACCGGAGCUAAUACCGGAUAAUAUUUAGCUUCGCAUGAAGCAAUAGAGAAAGAUGGUUCUGCUGUCACUUAUAGAUGGAUCCGCGGUGUAUUAGCUAGUUGGUGAGGUAACGGCUCACCAAGGCAACGAUACAUAGCCGACCUGAGAGGGUGAUCGGCCACACUGGGACUGAGACACGGCCAAGAGUCCCACGGGAGGCAGCAGUAGGGAAUCUUCCGCAAUGGACGAAAGUCUGACGGAGCAAUGCCGCGUGAGUGAAGAAGGUUUUCGGAUCGUAAAACUCUGUUGUAAGGGAAGAACAAGUACGUUAGUAACUGAACGUACAUUGACGGUACCUUACCAGAAAGCCACGGCUAACUACGUG
RNAcentral lists this ribosomal RNA (499 nucleotides) under uncultured bacterium. RNAcentral describes it as "partial 16S ribosomal RNA". It matches the Rfam family "Bacterial small subunit ribosomal RNA", at positions 28 to 507 of the family's 1533-position model. The record is from RNAcentral.